GAUGAACGCUGGCGGCGUGCCUAAUACAUGCAAGUCGAGCGAACGGACGAGAAGCUUGCUUCUCUGAUGUUAGCGGCGGACGGGUGAGUAACACGUGGAUAACCUACCUAUAAGACCGGGAUAACUUCGGGAAACCGGAGCUAAUACCGGAUAAUAUUUUGAACCGCAUGGUUCAAAAGUAAAAGACGGUCUUGCUGUCACUUAUAGAUGGAUCCGCGCUGCAUUAGCUAGUUGGUAAGGUAACGGCUUACCAAGGCAACGAUGCAUAGCCGACCUGAGAGGGUGAUCGGCCACACUGGAACUGAGACACGGUCCAGACUCCUACGGGAGGCAGCAGUAGGGAAUCUUCCGCAAUGGGCGAAGGCCUGACGGAGCAACGCCGCGUGAGUGAUGAAGGUCUUCGGAUCGUAAAACUCUGUUAUUAGGGAAGAACAUAUGUGUAAGUAACUGUGCACAUCUUGACGGUACCUAAUCAGAAAGCCACGGCUAACUACGUG
RNAcentral lists this ribosomal RNA (497 nucleotides) under uncultured bacterium. RNAcentral describes it as "partial 16S ribosomal RNA". It matches the Rfam family "Bacterial small subunit ribosomal RNA", at positions 28 to 507 of the family's 1533-position model. The record is from RNAcentral.